UACGGAGGGUGCAAGCGUUAUCCGGAUUCACUGGGUUUAAAGGGUGCGUAGGUGGGUUGGUAAGUCAGACGUGAAAUCCCUCGGCUUAACCGGGGAACUGCAUCUGAUACUGGAUGGCUUGAGAUUGGGAGAGGGAUGCGGAAUUCCAGGUGUAGCGGUGAAAUGCGUAGAUAUCUGGAGGAACACCGGUGGCGAAGGCGGCAUCCUGGACCAACACUGACGCUGAGGAGCGAAAGCCAGGGGAGCAAACGGG
Molecule: ribosomal RNA, 253 nt
Filed under: uncultured bacterium
Lineage: Bacteria
Description: partial 16S ribosomal RNA
Rfam family: Bacterial small subunit ribosomal RNA
Source: RNAcentral